AGCAGCCGCGGUAAUUCCAGCUCCAAUAGCGUAUAUUAAAGUUGUUGCAGUUAAAAAGCUCGUAGUUGAAUUUCGAGAUCAAUUUGUGGGUCGUGCCUCGGUACGUACUGGCAUUAUCGAUUUCUCCCUUCUGAAGAACCGCGAUGUCAUUAAUUUGGUGUCGUGGGGAAUCAGGACUGUUACUUUGAAAAAUUAGAGUGUUUAAAGCAGGCUUACGCUUGAAUACAUUAGCAUGGAAUAAUGAAAUAGGACGUUUGAUUCUAUUUUGUUGGUUUCUAGGAUCGACGUAGUGAUUAAUAGGGAUAGUUGGGGGCA
RNAcentral lists this ribosomal RNA (315 nucleotides) under uncultured Glomus. RNAcentral's name for it is "SSU rRNA". It matches the Rfam family "Eukaryotic small subunit ribosomal RNA", at positions 569 to 890 of the family's 1831-position model. The record is from RNAcentral. Lineage: Eukaryota; Fungi; Glomeromycota; Glomeromycetes; Glomerales; Glomeraceae.